Leptidea sinapis is the source of this 1065-nucleotide long non-coding RNA. RefSeq lists it as uncharacterized. The transcript has 3 exons. Lineage: Eukaryota; Metazoa; Arthropoda; Insecta; Lepidoptera; Pieridae. The record is from RefSeq and is a predicted model, not a curated record.
UAUACUUUUCUGUCAGUCAAAAAGGAUUGCAUCCAAUUUAUUAUUUUACCUGGUAUCCCUAACAUUGAUAACUCGUCACAAAGCACGGCAAUAUUUACACUAUUGAAGGCACCUGAGAUGUCAAAAAAUACAGACAAAAGAUACUGAUUACUUGCUAAACAUUGAUGCGCAUCAAGCUGUAACUGCGCUAUACUCUCCCUAGAAGACCGACCUUUGCGAAAACCAAACUGAUUAUUAGGCAAAAGACAAUUUUGUUCUAUAAAGAACUCGAGACGUUGUUUUAGAAGCUGCUCAAAUAUCUUCCCAACACAAGACGUGAGAGCUAUAGGUCUAUAAGAGUCAGCAUUUAAAACUGCUUCUGUACACCUCUGAUUCCACCAAGGCAACCAAGGAUAUUUAAAAGAUUUUUGUGAACAAGAACUAGUAGCAUUAUUACUAUUAGAACUUUUGGAAAACAGACAGCUAGGGAUUGACUGCUUGGCAGCAGAAAGUAAAAUAUUACAAAAGGAAUUAAAAGCAUCUAUUGAAGAUAAAGUGUCAAAUUUAACAUCAUCCAAAUAAGAAACAACUAAGUUACUAUACAUAUUCCAAUUCACCUGCUUAUAAUUAGGGGAGAUGAUAACUACUGCCCAGAGGACUGUCAAUAACUGACCAGUCACAUAAAAGAGCCAAAGAUGGAGUUACCAAAGUCAAGUCAAGAGCAUUAGGACGCCAAGAUGGAGAUCCUAUUGUGGUAGCUUACCAUUAUUCAGAAUAACAAGACCAUUCUCAUCUAUAACCUCUAAAACAUCUUUACCUCGAGGCAAUGUAUCAACACAUCCCCACAACAUGUGAUGAGCAUUGAAAUCACCUGCAAAUAUCAUUGGCUCUGGAAUGGACUUAAUUAAACUGUUUAAAUUGUUUUUAUUAAAUGGAGGAUUUGAAUUGGAAGGACUGUAAAAACUCACAAUACUCAGUUCUUUGUUAUUAAUUUUAAUUUUAAUGCAAACAUUUUGUAGAGCACUAUCAAAAUAUGUAUUUAUGUUAGAAAAUGUGAUAUUAUUAUGAAUAAAAAUUGCUACACCA